AGAGUUUGAUCAUGGCUCAGGAUGAACGCUGGCGGCGUGCCUAACACAUGCAAGUCGAACGGGACUACUGGAAGAUCUUUUCGGAGUGAUUCCUUUAGUUUAGUGGCGGACGGGUGAGUAACGCGUGGAUAACCUGCCUUUCACAGGGGGAUAGCAGCUGGAAACGGCUGGUAAUACCGCAUACGCUCAAGUUACCGCAUGGUGACAUGAGGAAAGAUUUAUCGGUGAAAGAUGGAUCCGCGUCUGAUUAGCCAGUUGGCGGGGUAACGGCCCACCAAAGCAACGAUCAGUAGCCGGCCUGAGAGGGCGGACGGCCACAUUGGGACUGAGACACGGCCCAGACUCCUACGGGAGGCAGCAGUGGGGGAUAUUGCACAAUGGGCGCAAGCCUGAUGCAGCGACGCCGCGUGAGUGAAGAAGUAUUUCGGUAUGUAAAGCUCUAUCAGCAGGGAAGAAAGGCCCUUUUAGGGAGAUGACGGUACCUGACUAAGAAGCCCCGGCUAACUACGUGCCAGCAGCCGCGGUAAU
This 528-nucleotide ribosomal RNA is filed under the name uncultured bacterium. RNAcentral describes it as "bacterial SSU rRNA". It matches the Rfam family "Bacterial small subunit ribosomal RNA", at positions 8 to 524 of the family's 1533-position model. The record is from RNAcentral.